This is a long non-coding RNA of Scylla paramamosain (green mud crab), 632 nucleotides long. RefSeq lists it as uncharacterized. NCBI's taxonomy places the organism in Eukaryota, Metazoa, Arthropoda, Malacostraca, Decapoda, Portunidae. The transcript has 2 exons. The record is from RefSeq and is a predicted model, not a curated record.
ACUUAUUAAUGGUUAUGCAGCCACUCACUAGCUGACCAACUCAUCUCAGCUUCAAGGCAACUCAAUCUGGAAAUAACAGACAAUGGAAACAGCUUCUACUGUGUGGGUGAACAAUGGGUCCUCCUGAGGCAGUGGUGUAGCAGGUGUUUCGCUCGACACUGUGGGGGCAAAGACUGUCUCCCUUGUGAUAUACUGCAGUCAAUGUAUUGCCUCCACACACAGCAACACUGUUCUUCCAAGCCUUGAGUUUCCUCACUACAGUGUCAUUCAGAAUAAGCUCCAAGAUUUGUUGGUGUUCCCACAAGGAUCUUCCUCAGCUCUGCCAGCUUGCAGUCUCUCAAGGGCCUCAGUCAAGAUUCUCCUCCAGGCCUGGCCACAUGCUGCCUCUGUCUCCAAGAACACACCUACUCAUUUCACACUGAUAUAAGCAACCUUUUCAAAGUCCCUCACAGCAUUUUACAUUUCUGACAACAAGCAAUAUUUAAUGGGCUCCUACACACACACACACACACACACACACUCCUAGAUUAGACUUACCUUUAGGAUUAAUGUUAAGUUUUCCCCAUCCCCUAUGUACAUUUUCUGUUUGUCAACUGCCUAAAUAAUAAACCGUUUAUUAUUAUUAUUACACA